GUACACGCUGUGACUAGCAUAUCAAUAAGCGGAGGAAAAGAAACUAACAAGGAUUCCCCUAGUAACGGCGAGUGAAGCGGGAAGAGCUCAAAUUUGAAAUCUUAAAGGGUUUCCCUUUACGAAUUGUAGUUUAAAGAAGUGUUUUCUGUUGAGGUUUUGGUAAAAGUUCUUUGGAAUAGGACAUCAUAGAGGGUGAGAAUCCCGUAUUUGACCUUUACUUUCAACUUUGUGAUACACUUUCAAAGAGUCGGAUUGUUUGGGAAUGCAGUCCAAAAUGGGUGGUAAAUUUCAUCUAAAGCUAAAUAUUGGCGAGAGACCGAUAGCGAACAAGUACCGUGAGGGAAAGAUGAAAAGAACUUUGAAAAGAGAGUUAAACAGUACGUGAAAUUGUCAAAAGGGAAGCGUUUGACACCAGUGUUGUUUUUCUGAAAAUCAAUUAAAGAACUGUUUAUGCUAAGUUGUUUAGACUUUAUCAGGCUAUCUGUUUCGUUUUGAGCUUUUCUUUAAUGCACUUUUCAGUUAACAAGUCAACAUCAAUUUCUUUUGCUGUAAAAAAGCUUGAGGAAGGUGGCUUGAGAUUCGUCUUAAGUGUUUAUAGCCUCUUGCCUAUGCAGUCGGAGAGAUUGAGGUCUGCAGCGUAGAUCCUUCGGGGCUAAAUGCAUUUGUGCUAAGUUAUAGCAUUUUAUAGACAACUUGUUGACUAUGAUUUGUCUUGUAGCUUACUCGCUUAUGUUAUUUUACCUACGCUUAGGAUGUUGAAGAUGUAGCACAUCAU
RNAcentral lists this ribosomal RNA (775 nucleotides) under uncultured Neocallimastigales. RNAcentral's name for it is "partial large subunit ribosomal RNA". It matches the Rfam family "Eukaryotic large subunit ribosomal RNA", at positions 22 to 635 of the family's 3401-position model. Lineage: Eukaryota; Fungi; Neocallimastigomycota; Neocallimastigomycetes; Neocallimastigales. The record is from RNAcentral.